CAUUAAGUGACUGAAAGAAAGUAUUGAUCUCUUAAAUCACAUCAUGGUAUAGUUGCGAAUACUCUUAAUGA
Molecule: transfer RNA, 71 nt
Filed under: Abia mengmeng
Lineage: Eukaryota; Metazoa; Arthropoda; Insecta; Hymenoptera; Cimbicidae
Description: tRNA-Lys
Source: RNAcentral